UACGAAGGGAGCUAGCGUUGUUCGGAAUUACUGGGCGUAAAGGGCGCGUAGGCGGUUGAAUAAGUUAGAUGUGAAAGCCUUGGGCUUAACCUGAGAAUUGCAUUUAAGACUGUUUAACUAGAGGACGAGAGAGGAAAGUGGAAUUACGAGUGUAGAGGUGAAAUUCGUAGAUAUUCGUAAGAACACCAGUGGCGAAGGCGGCUUUCUGGCUCGUAUCUGACGCUAAGGCGCGAAAGCGUGGGGAGCAAACAGG
Molecule: ribosomal RNA, 253 nt
Filed under: uncultured bacterium
Lineage: Bacteria
Description: partial 16S ribosomal RNA
Rfam family: Bacterial small subunit ribosomal RNA
Source: RNAcentral